Molecule: non-coding RNA, 21 nt
Filed under: Arabidopsis thaliana (thale cress)
Lineage: Eukaryota; Viridiplantae; Streptophyta; Magnoliopsida; Brassicales; Brassicaceae
Source: RNAcentral
UCGUCUCGCGGAUGGGUUAGC